RNAcentral lists this ribosomal RNA (453 nucleotides) under uncultured bacterium. RNAcentral describes it as "bacterial SSU rRNA". It matches the Rfam family "Bacterial small subunit ribosomal RNA", at positions 1052 to 1504 of the family's 1533-position model. The record is from RNAcentral.
UCGUCAGCUCGUGUUGUGACAUGUUGGGUUAAGUCCCGCAACGAGCGCAACCCUUAUCCUUUGUAACAAAGCGGUCCGGCCGGGAACUCAAAGGAGACUGCCAGUGAUAAACUGGAGGAAGGUGGGGAUGACGUCAAGUCAUCAUGGCCCUUACGACCAGGGCUACACACGUGCUACAAUGGCGCAUACAAAGAGAAGCGACCUCGCGAGAGCAAGCGGACCUCAUAAAGUGCGUCGUAGUCCGGAUUGGAGUCUGCAACUCGACUCCAUGAAGUCGGAAUCGCUAGUAAUCGUGGAUCAGAAUGCCACGGUGAAUACGUUCCCGGGCCUUGUACACACCGCCCGUCACACCAUGGGAGUGGGUUGCAAAAGAAGUAGGUAGCUUAACCUUCGGGAGGGCGCUUACCUCUUUGUGAUUCAAGACUGGGGUGAAGUCGUAACAAGGUAGCCGUA